Pyrgilauda ruficollis (rufous-necked snowfinch) is the source of this 3534-nucleotide long non-coding RNA. RefSeq lists it as uncharacterized. NCBI's taxonomy places the organism in Eukaryota, Metazoa, Chordata, Aves, Passeriformes, Passeridae. The transcript is spliced from 3 exons. The record is from RefSeq and is a predicted model, not a curated record.
UUUAUAACAGCAGCAGGCUCGGGAAUUCCCUUUUAGAAAGCACACAAACAGCGAGCACAGCUCGGCCCGCCCCUGAGCUGUGCUCGCCGCCACACGGGGGCACGGGAGGAGCGGUUUGGGAAAGCUGGGCUCGUUUCAGGGUCCCAAAACCAAUCUUGGCCAACCGGAGCGGUUUUGGUGCUUCUGGCGUGCCAGGCCUGCGUGGUUUUGUUCCCCUCUCGCCGUGUGGGAAUGCCGUGCCGGUGUCAAUGCUGGUUUAGCUCCCCUGGUGCCGCGCUGGGUGUGGGUUUGGGCCGUGCCUGGCCGCAGGGAAAGUCGGCAGGUUUGGCUGCUGUGGCGUCCCAGCCCUGUUGUUUUUUGUCACUUUGUUUCUGCAGAGAGGAAAAGCAUCCCAGCUUGGCUGGCAGCAGAGCCCAGGCCUGAGGCUGCUCAGCGUUGGUGUGACCCACUGGUGGUGUCACCUGCCCUGGGCACAGCCACCACAGCUGCCCAGAGCCAGGAGCAUCUAGUGAGAGAUCCAGGAGGAUGCAGCUCUUGUUUCCAAGGAGGAUAAUAUAAGACUGAAAGGAGCUUGGCAGGAAAGCCCCUGUGAAACAAAGCACAAUGGGAAUACCUGUGAGCAGGGACUCUAAGGAAUUCCUGCUGCUCCUGCUGUCCUGGUCUUUUCCAGGACAGGAAAAAUCAUUUAAGUGGACCCAGCUCUGCCAGAACCUUUGGUUUUGGGUGGGAUUGAGCAGCCAAAGCCCAGAGCCUGCAGCCCUGAUGGCCUGGGGUAAGUCAGAAGGACACACUUCCCUUUUCCUGGCUGUUGGGAUUAGCUCACUGGGAAAUGUCAGCACAGCUCUGCUCUUUACUGGGCUCUGGGUAAAGCUCCAUUUUCCCUUGUGGUCAGGGAUGUGCUGUCCAAGGGCUUGGGGAUUCCAAGGAGGUCAGAAAAGGAGGGUGUGAGGUGCCAGAGCUGUGUCCCAUCAGGCUGUGUUUGUCUCUGAGAAACCCAUGCCAGCAAUUUUUACAGAGGAAAAAAUAUUAGCAAUUACUUUUGAUCCCUUGGGGAAGUUUCUUUGGAAUUAGCAACUGCAGAGUGUAUCAGUGGAGAGCAUUUCCUUUGGCUCUUUUCCUGGUUUGUCAUUUCCUUUCUGGUUUAAAUUAAUUUUUUUGUGCUCCUGUUAGGGAAACAACAUGUUUUUACCUUCAAAUAUGGGGUGGUUUUAUUUGUUUAGGUUAUUUGCUUAUGGGUCAGAGAAGGAAGUGAAAUUACAUUUUAGUAUAUUUUCCCAAACAUAAAGUGGGAUGUUGUCCUGCCACUCCCCAAACCACUCCAGGCACCUGGGAGCAGCUCAGAGCUGGCAGAGUUGCAAUGGAAUUUAAGAUAAACUGAGGGAGUCAGUAGGGAACAGACAGGGAAAAUUUUGGGGGGUAAGACUUGGAAUAACCUUUAGGGCAGAGAAUUAACAUUUUUGAGGUAAAAAUGAAGUAAUCAGUAGUGGACAGAUAGGGAAAAUAUUGUGAGUGAAGCUUUAGUUAAUCUGUAAGGGGAAGAAUGAGCAUUUUGAGGUCAAGUGGGGUAAUACAUAGUGAAGUAUUUUCCAUAAGUAGGGAAAAUUUUCAGAGCAAACUUGGGGCAGUCCACUGGGCAGAGAAGGGAUGAUUGGAAGUAAACUGAGGCAAUCAGGAGUGCACAGGUAGGAAGAUUUUGUCAGUAAAAUCUGGGAUAACAUCUAGGGCAGAGCAUGAAUAUUUUGAGGUCAGCUCAGGUAAUCAGCAGUGUCCAGCUAGGGGGGUUUUUGGGAUUGCUCCCGAGUAAGGUACAAUGAAAACUUUGGAGGUGAAACCCUUGGUAAAAUCUCUGUUCAUUUCACCUGCCUGAAUUCCUUGUAGCUCCCAGCUGGGAAAACCUGGCAUAACUUAGAGGGGACAGAGGUGACACUUUUGGCAGAAAACUUGUGGAAUUUAGAGGGGACCCAACAUGUGUUUGUGUAGGAAAAUGUGAGGGGAUGUGGAGGGAACCAAGGUGGCAUUUUUCAGGGAAUAGCUAUGGGGAGAGAAUGCACAUUUUGGGGUCAAAAUGAGGGAAUCAAUAGUGUGCAGAAAAGAAAAUUUGGGAGGUAAAACAUGGGAUAAUCUUGAUGGUAGAAAACAUUCAAUUUAUUGUAAAAAAUGGAGUAAGGAGUAACAAAAGGAAAUUUAUGGGGGAAAAGCUUGAGGUACUUUUUGGGAGAGAGAAUGAAUAUUUUGAGGGGAAAAUGAGCUCAUCAGAAGUGGACAAAGAGGGAGUAUUUUGGGGGAAAAACCUGGAGUAAUCUUUUGGGGAAAAAAAUGAACAUCUUGAGGUAAACUGAGGUAACAAGUAGUGCAAAGGUAGCGAUAUAUUGGGGGUUAAACUUGAGGUAAUCUCCAGUGUAGAAAAUAAAUAUUUUGAGGUAAAACUGAGGUAAAUCAGUAGUGGCCAGGUAGGGAAAAUCUUGGUGAAAUUGGUGAUAACCUCUAGCAGAGCCAGUGAAAAUUUUGAGUUAGGUAAUCAGUAGCAAACAUGAGGGGAAUAUUUGUGGCUGAAAACUGAGAUAACCUCCAGGGUAAGGAAUGAACAUUUUGAGGUAAACAGGUGGAAUCAGCAGGGCAGAGACACGGGAAAUUUUAGGGGUGAAAUUGAGGUGAUCUGUAGAGGAGAGAAAACAGCAUUUUGAGGUUAAAAGUAAUGGACAGGUAGGGAACAUUUCAGGGGAAAAUCCUGAGGUAAUCUGCAGUGGAUAGAAUGAAUAAUUGGGAUAGGAUAGUGGGGGGUUUUGGUGGGAAAAUAGAAGUAAUCUAUAGAGAUAAAAUGAAUGUCUGGGAGUUCAAAUGUGAGUUAACCUGUAAAGGAAGGGCUGAAAAUCCUGAGGUAAAAAUGAAGGUGGUCAUUAGCAGAGAGGCAUGGAAAAAUUUGGGAUUAAAACUUGAGGUGGUGUAGGGGAGAGAAUGAGCACUGUGAGGUAAGAUGAGGUAAUUAAAUGUAACAGGUAGGAAAAACCUUGGGAAAAACUCAAACCUGAGUCUGUAAAGAAAUAAAAUUUUGAGGUGAAAUCAGCAGUAUACUGCUAAAGUGAAGUUUUGGCUUUAAAAUUUGAGAUAAUCCAUAGGGAACAGAGAACAUUUGGGUGGAUAACCUGAAGUAAUCUGUAACACAGAGACAGAAUGAAUAUUUUAGGGAUUAGAUAGAGAUAAAUAGUGGAGGGUUUUGGUGGUAAAAUCCAAGUCAUCCAUAGGGGUCAAGAUUAACAAUUUGAGGGUAAAAUGGAGGUAUUUUGUAAUGGACUGAAUGAACAUUUUGAGGUAAAAAGGAGGAUGUCGCUGGUGAAUGUGUCAGGAUAAUUUUGGAGUAAAACUUGAGCUGCUCUGUGAAGUACAGUUAAUAUUUUGGGGGGAAAAUGUCAGGCCGCCUGUCCUGGCAUUGAUGAGGUUCCUGGGAAUCCAUUACAUUGUUCUCAUAGAAAUUUGCACAGGUUUUGGAGCUUAUGCAUUUCUUCCUUUGGAUUGUUCCCUCUGCAGGAUUUGGGG